UCUUGGAAGUAUAUGCUGAUUCUUAUCACGAGGAGCACUUUUUUGAAAGCACUUUUAUAAAAGUGCUGCUGGUGGAAGAAGCUGCCUGUAUGAGG
Molecule: microRNA precursor, 95 nt
Organism: Gallus gallus (chicken)
Lineage: Eukaryota; Metazoa; Chordata; Aves; Galliformes; Phasianidae
Source: Ensembl